AAGAAAGAGGACUAAGAGAGGGAAAGCAGUCACAAGCGCAGCGGCCACAAGUAACAGACGUAAGAAACGUCAAAAAGCAGAACGUCGUGCAUUAGCUUCUGAAGUUCAAGUGAUCACAGUGUCUGAGGAAGUCCCUCAGAUCGAAGAAGAGAUGACUGCAAGUCUUGAAACGUGUCUUCAACAGCUGAGGGACACUCUUGACUCAGUUGAGGUUAAUGUGGCAGCUGAAAAAACAGCAUGGGCACAGCGGCAGCUACACGCUGAUACAAGGGCAAAAGCAGCAAGGCCAGUGCUGCUCGAUGCUAAACUGUCCGCUGAAAGAGACUUCUACCAAAAAUGUCACAGGUGCGGUGC
Long non-coding RNA from Rhinichthys klamathensis goyatoka, 354 nucleotides. RefSeq lists it as uncharacterized. The record is from RefSeq and is a predicted model, not a curated record. The transcript has 3 exons. NCBI's taxonomy places the organism in Eukaryota, Metazoa, Chordata, Actinopteri, Cypriniformes, Leuciscidae.